This 468-nucleotide ribosomal RNA is filed under the name uncultured bacterium. RNAcentral's name for it is "partial 16S ribosomal RNA". It matches the Rfam family "Bacterial small subunit ribosomal RNA", at positions 28 to 507 of the family's 1533-position model. The record is from RNAcentral.
GACGAACGCUGGCGGCGUGCUUAACACAUGCAAGUCGAACGGAAAGGCCCUGCUUUUGUGGGGUGCUCGAGUGGCGAACGGGUGAGUAACACGUGAGUAACCUGCCCUUGACUUUGGGAUAACUUCAGGAAACUGGGGCUAAUACCGGAUAGGAGCUCCUGCUUCAUGGUGGGGGUUGGAAAGUUUCGGCGGUUGGGGAUGGACUCGCGGCUUAUCAGCUUGUUGGUGGGGUAGUGGCUUACCAAGGCUUUGACGGGUAGCCGGCCUGAGAGGGUGACCGGCCACAUUGGGACUGAGAUACGGCCCAGACUACUACGGGAGGCAGCAGUGGGGAAUAUUGCACAAUGGGCGGAAGCCUGAUGCAGCAACGCCGCGUGCGGGAUGACGGCCUUCGGGUUGUAAACCGAUUUCGCCUGUGACGAAGCGUGAGUGACGGUAAUGGGUAAAGAAGCACCGGCUAACUACGUG